Molecule: microRNA precursor, 71 nt
Filed under: Human gammaherpesvirus 8
Lineage: Duplodnaviria; Heunggongvirae; Peploviricota; Herviviricetes; Herpesvirales; Orthoherpesviridae
Description: microRNA kshv-mir-K12 precursor (kshv-mir-K12-11)
Gene: kshv-mir-K12-11
Source: miRBase by way of RNAcentral
CGCUUUGGUCACAGCUUAAACAUUUCUAGGGCGGUGUUAUGAUCCUUAAUGCUUAGCCUGUGUCCGAUGCG